Molecule: transfer RNA, 97 nt
Filed under: Sebdenia flabellata
Lineage: Eukaryota; Rhodophyta; Florideophyceae; Sebdeniales; Sebdeniaceae
Description: tRNA-Ser
Rfam family: tRNA
About the family: Transfer RNA (tRNA) molecules are approximately 80 nucleotides in length.
Source: RNAcentral
AGGAAGGUGGUUGAGUGGUUUAAAACAACGGUUUGCUAAAUCGUCACAUCUUUAAUAUUAUAUAAUGAUGUCAUGGGUUCGAAUCCCAUUCUUCCUA